This 1122-nucleotide ribosomal RNA is filed under the name Acinetobacter baumannii. RNAcentral describes it as "bacterial SSU rRNA". It matches the Rfam family "Bacterial small subunit ribosomal RNA", at positions 442 to 1533 of the family's 1533-position model. Lineage: Bacteria; Pseudomonadati; Pseudomonadota; Gammaproteobacteria; Moraxellales; Moraxellaceae. The record is from RNAcentral.
AGGAGGAGGCUACUUUAGUUAAUACCUAGAGAUAGUGGACGUUACUCGCAGAAUAAGCACCGGCUAACUCUGUGCCAGCAGCCGCGGUAAUACAGAGGGUGCGAGCGUUAAUCGGAUUUACUGGGCGUAAAGCGUGCGUAGGCGGCUUAUUAAGUCGGAUGUGAAAUCCCCGAGCUUAACUUGGGAAUUGCAUUCGAUACUGGUGAGCUAGAGUAUGGGAGAGGAUGGUAGAAUUCCAGGUGUAGCGGUGAAAUGCGUAGAGAUCUGGAGGAAUACCGAUGGCGAAGGCAGCCAUCUGGCCUAAUACUGACGCUGAGGUACGAAAGCAUGGGGAGCAAACAGGAUUAGAUACCCUGGUAGUCCAUGCCGUAAACGAUGUCUACUAGCCGUUGGGGCCUUUGAGGCUUUAGUGGCGCAGCUAACGCGAUAAGUAGACCGCCUGGGGAGUACGGUCGCAAGACUAAAACUCAAAUGAAUUGACGGGGGCCCGCACAAGCGGUGGAGCAUGUGGUUUAAUUCGAUGCAACGCGAAGAACCUUACCUGGCCUUGACAUACUAGAAACUUUCCAGAGAUGGAUUGGUGCCUUCGGGAAUCUAGAUACAGGUGCUGCAUGGCUGUCGUCAGNNNNNNNNNNNNNNNNNNNNNNCUCGUGUCGUGAGAUGUUGGGUUAAGUCCCGCAACGAGCGCAACCCUUUUCCUUACUUGCCAGCAUUUCGGAUGGGAACUUUAAGGAUACUGCCAGUGACAAACUGGAGGAAGGCGGGGACGACGUCAAGUCAUCAUGGCCCUUACGGCCAGGGCUACACACGUGCUACAAUGGUCGGUACAAAGGGUUGCUACACAGCGAUGUGAUGCUAAUCUCAAAAAGCCGAUCGUAGUCCGGAUUGGAGUCUGCAACUCGACUCCAUGAAGUCGGAAUCGCUAGUAAUCGCGGAUCAGAAUGCCGCGGUGAAUACGUUCCCGGGCCUUGUACACACCGCCCGUCACACCAUGGGAGUUUGUUGCACCAGAAGUAGCUAGCCUAACUGCAAAGAGGGCGGUUACCACGGUGUGGCCGAUGACUGGGGUGAAGUCGUAACAAGGUAGCCGUAGGGGAACCUGCGGCUGGAUCACCUCCUUAA